GACGAACGCUGGCGGCGUGCUUAACACAUGCAAGUCGAGCGGUAAGGCCCUUUCGGGGGUACGACGAGCGGCGAACGGGUGAGUAACACGUGGGUGACCUGCCCUCAGCUCUGGGAGUAAGACCUCGGGAAACCGGGGUACUAAUACUGGAUAUGACUCCAUGACGCAUGUUGUGGGGUGGAAAGCCUUGUGCGGCUGAGGAUGGGCCCGCGGCCUAUCAGC
This 222-nucleotide ribosomal RNA is filed under the name uncultured bacterium. RNAcentral's name for it is "partial 16S ribosomal RNA". It matches the Rfam family "Bacterial small subunit ribosomal RNA", at positions 28 to 245 of the family's 1533-position model. The record is from RNAcentral.